GAUGAACGCUGGCGGCGUGCCUAAUACAUGCAAGUCGAGCGAACAGACGAGGAGCUUGCUCCUCUGACGUUAGCGGCGGACGGGUGAGUAACACGUGGAUAACCUACCUAUAAGACUGGGAUAACUUCGGGAAACCGGAGCUAAUACCGGAUAAUAUAUUGAACCGCAUGGUUCAAUAGUGAAAGACGGUUUUGCUGUCACUUAUAGAUGGAUCCGCGCCGCAUUAGCUAGUUGGUAAGGUAACGGCUUACCAAGGCAACGAUGCGUAGCCGACCUGAGAGGGUGAUCGGCCACACUGGAACUGAGACACGGUCCAGACGCCUAAGGGAGGCAGCAGUAGGGAAUCUUCCGCAAUGGGCGAAAGCCUGACGGAGCAACGCCGCGUGAGUGAUGAAGGUCUUCGGAUCGUAAAACUCUGUUAUUAGGGAAGAACAAAUGUGUAAGUAACUAUGCACGUCUUGACGGUACCUAAUCAGAAAGCCACGGCUAACUACGUG
This 497-nucleotide ribosomal RNA is filed under the name uncultured bacterium. Its description in RNAcentral is "partial 16S ribosomal RNA". It matches the Rfam family "Bacterial small subunit ribosomal RNA", at positions 28 to 507 of the family's 1533-position model. The record is from RNAcentral.